Molecule: ribosomal RNA, 288 nt
Filed under: Gekko yakuensis
Lineage: Eukaryota; Metazoa; Chordata; Lepidosauria; Squamata; Gekkonidae
Description: partial 12S ribosomal RNA
Source: RNAcentral
CCACCACUAAAACGUCAGGUCAAGGUGUAGCUAAUUGGGGGGGCAGCGAUGGGCUACAUUUUCUAUUAAUAGAAGCCCCCAGCAGCAUGAAACAAUGCCAUAAGACGGAUUUAGCAGUAAACAGAGCAAGAAUCGCCCAAUUGAAGCUCGCCCUGAGACGCGUACACACCGCCCGUCACCCUCCUCAACAAACCAAAAUAUAAAGCUAACUAAGCCGCCCUUUACCCCAACCUUAGAUGAGGUAAGUCGUAACAUGGUAAGUGUACUGGAAAGUGCACUUGGCAAAAC